AAUGUUGUGUCUGAAAAAGAAUUAAACUGUAAAUUUAUUAAUAGAAAUCUUAAUUUUCUCAACAUUA
RNAcentral lists this transfer RNA (67 nucleotides) under Chrysis ruddii. Its description in RNAcentral is "tRNA-Tyr". The record is from RNAcentral. Lineage: Eukaryota; Metazoa; Arthropoda; Insecta; Hymenoptera; Chrysididae.